RNAcentral lists this ribosomal RNA (279 nucleotides) under uncultured bacterium. RNAcentral's name for it is "partial 16S ribosomal RNA". It matches the Rfam family "Bacterial small subunit ribosomal RNA", at positions 335 to 606 of the family's 1533-position model. The record is from RNAcentral.
ACUCCUACGGGAGGCAGCAGUGGGGAAUAUUGCACAAUGGGCGCAAGCCUGAUGCAGCCAUGCCGCGUGUAUGAAGAAGGCCUUCGGGUUGUAAAGUACUUUCAGCGGGGAGGAAGGGAGUAAAGUUAAUACCUUUGCUCAUUGACGUUACCCGCAGAAGAAGCACCGGCUAACUCCGUGCCAGCAGCCGCGGUAAUACGGAGGGUGCAAGCGUUAAUCGGAAUUACUGGGCGUAAAGCGCACGCAGGCGGUUUGUUAAGUCAGAUGUGAAAUCCCGGC